AAAAACACAACAACAACAAAAAACAAAGAAUACAUACUCGAGAAAGGAAAUCUAAACAAAAGGACAAGAUCAACAAUAUGGAUCAGACUAGUAGCCAAGUCGAGUCUUCCAUCCAUUUCUUUUGUUUUAUCUUAUGUGUGUUCUUAAUACGAUGAAUAUUUAACCUCAAUAUAUUGCUAUAUACUUUUGUCAUCUUGCUUUAUAAUUUAACCCUCUUUUCCAAAUGCAUCUUAUGAUUAUCAUGUACUGGAAAGUAAAACAUAUACCAUACCUCGAUAUAAUGAAGAUAGAGUUAAAUAUAGUAGAGGUUGUUUAGGGUAUAAGGCAAACAACAACAUGAGAUCCAACAUAAGAUUAAAAUCACAACAGUAAUUCUUCUUCUUCAAAAAAAAAAGAAGAAAAACAAAAGAGAUAAAAGAUAUGAGGUUCAAGAAAAACGUAUAGGUGUCUUUCUCAUUCAUGAUUUGAAUGACCGUGUCCAAUAAAAAUAAUAAUAAAAGCCAACAUAUUCAUUCAUUCAUGACAUUUCAUAAAUUUAAUGCCGAGAAAAUGACUUGCACCCGAAACCGAUAAAAUUACUUGCAUCUUAAAGUCGGGAAAAUGACUCGCCCCAAAAGCCUAGAAAACAACCCACAUCUUGUAGCCGAAAAAAAUGACUUGCACUCAAAUCCGAGAAAAAUACCCGCAUCUUAAAGUCCGAAAAACAACUCGCACCCAAAACCGAGAAAACAACUCGCAUCUUGAAGUCGGGAAAACGACUCCCACCUGAAGCCGAGAAAAUGACAUGCAUCUUGAAGCUUCGAAAACGACUUGCAUCCUUCUACAAAAAUUAUUUUUCAGACAGAAUUAGAGUUGUCAUCUUUAGUUAUCGUUUACUUUGAUUCUCAAGUUAGUUCUAAGUAAAGAGGGGCAACUAUUGACACCUAAUUUUGUCCGCUAUUUUUAGGGGCAACUAUUAAAUAAUUAGGGGCAACUAUUCUCAAGUUAGUUCUAAGUAAAGAGGGGCAACUAUUAAUA
Molecule: long non-coding RNA, 1017 nt
Filed under: Cicer arietinum (chickpea)
Lineage: Eukaryota; Viridiplantae; Streptophyta; Magnoliopsida; Fabales; Fabaceae
Description: long non-coding RNA (CARI_LNC003547)
Source: RNAcentral